UACCACAUGCAAGUCGAACGAAACCUUCGGGCUUAGUGGCGCACGGGUGCGUAACGCGUGGGAAUCUGCCCUUGGGUUCGGAAUAACAUAGAGAAAUUGGAGCUACUACCGGAUGAUGUCUUAAGCUCAAAGAUUUAUCGCCCAUGGAUGAGCCCGCGUAGGAUUAGCUAGUUGGUGAGGUAAAGGCUCACCAAGGCGACGAUCCUUAGCUGGUCUGAGACGAUGAUCAGCCCCACUGGGACUGAGACCCGGCCCAGACUCCUACGGGAGGCAGCAGUGGGGAAUAUUGGACAAUGGGCGAAAGCCUCAUCCAGCAAUGCCGCGCGAGUGAUGAAGGCCUUAGGGUUGUAAUGUUCUUUUACCCGGGAUGAUAAUGACAGUACCGGGAGAAUAAGCCCCGGCUAACUCCGUGCCAGCAGCCGCGGUAAU
RNAcentral lists this ribosomal RNA (429 nucleotides) under uncultured Sphingomonas sp. RNAcentral describes it as "bacterial SSU rRNA". It matches the Rfam family "Bacterial small subunit ribosomal RNA", at positions 49 to 524 of the family's 1533-position model. The record is from RNAcentral. Lineage: Bacteria; Pseudomonadati; Pseudomonadota; Alphaproteobacteria; Sphingomonadales; Sphingomonadaceae.